This 501-nucleotide ribosomal RNA is filed under the name uncultured bacterium. RNAcentral's name for it is "partial 16S ribosomal RNA". It matches the Rfam family "Bacterial small subunit ribosomal RNA", at positions 30 to 523 of the family's 1533-position model. The record is from RNAcentral.
AUUGAACGCUGGCGGCAGGCUUAACACAUGCAAGUCGAGCGGGGAAAGGUAGCUUGCUACCUGACCUAGCGGCGGACGGGUGAGUAAUGCUUAGGAAUCUGCCUAUUAGUGGGGGACAACAUUCCGAAAGGAAUGCUAAUACCGCAUACGCCCCACGGGGGAAAGCAGGGGAUCUUCGGACCUUGCGCUAAUAGAUGAGCCUAAGUCAGAUUAGCUAGUUGGUGGGGUAAAGGCCUACCAAGGCGACGAUCUGUAGCGGGUCUGAGAGGAUGAUCCGACACACUGGGACUGAGACACGGCCCAGACUCCUACGGGAGGCAGCAGUGGGGAAUAUUGGACAAUGGGCGAAAGCCUGAUCCAGCCAUGCCGCGUGUGUGAAGAAGGCCUUUUGGUUGUAAAGCACUUUAAGCGAGGAGGAGGCUACCGAGAUUAAUACUCUUGGAUAGUGGACGUUACUCGCAGAAUAAGCACCGGCUAACUCUGUGCCAGCCGCCGCAGUAA